GACGAACGCUGGCGGCGUGCCUAAUACAUGCAAGUAGGACGCAGUUGCGAACGGGUGAUUAACGCGUAGGUAACUACCUAUUAGAGGGGGAUAACUAUUGGAAACGAUAGCUAAUACCGCAUACUAGUAGAUGGACCUACGUUGUAUUAGCUAGUAGGUAGGGUAAUGGCCUACCUAGGCAACGAUACAUAGCCGAACUGGGAGGGGGAUCGGGCAACCCGGGACUGAGACAAGGCCCAGAAUCCGUCGGGGGGCAGCAGUAGGGGAACUUUGGCAAUGGGGGGAACCCUGACCGAGCAAAGCCGCGUGAGUGAAGAAAGUUUUCGGGUCGUAAAGCUCUUUUGUUAAGGAAGCGGUACUUAACCAGAAAGGGACGGCUAACUACGUGCCAGCAGCCGCGGUAAUUC
This 407-nucleotide ribosomal RNA is filed under the name uncultured bacterium. RNAcentral describes it as "partial 16S ribosomal RNA". It matches the Rfam family "Bacterial small subunit ribosomal RNA", at positions 28 to 526 of the family's 1533-position model. The record is from RNAcentral.